RNAcentral lists this ribosomal RNA (649 nucleotides) under soil bacterium Siso-S2N-M1LLLSSL-2. RNAcentral describes it as "bacterial SSU rRNA". It matches the Rfam family "Bacterial small subunit ribosomal RNA", at positions 98 to 760 of the family's 1533-position model. The record is from RNAcentral.
GCGAACGGGUGAGUAAACGUGAGUAACCUGCCCUUGACUCUGGGAUAAGCCUGGGAAACUGGGUCUAAUACCGGAUACGACCAUUGCCCGCAUGGGUUGGUGGUGGAAAGCUUUUGUGGUUUUGGAUGGACUCGCGGCCUAUCAGCUUGUUGGUGAGGUAAUGGCUCACCAAGGCAACUACAGGUAGCCGGCCUGAAAGAGGUGACCGGCCACACUGGGACUGAGACACGGCCCACACUCCUACGGGAGGCAUCAGUGGGGAAUAUUGCACAAUGGGCGAAAGCCUGAUGCAUCGACGCCGCGUGAGGAAUGACGGCCUUCUGGUUGUAAACCUCUUUCAGUACGGAACAAGCUAAUGUGACGGUACCUGCAGAAGAAGCGCCGGCUAACUACGUGCCAGCAGCCGCGGUAAUACGUAGGGCGCAAGCGUUAUCCGGAAUUAUUGGGCGUAAAGAGCUCGUAGGCGGUUUGUCGCGUCUGCUGUGAAAGGCCAGGGCUCAACCCUGGUUCUGCAGUGGGUACGGGCAGACUUGAGUGAUGUAUGGGAGACUGGAAUUCCUGGUGUAGCGGUGAAAUGCGCAGAUAUCAGGAUGAACACCUAUGGCGAAGGCAGGUCUCUGGGCAUUAACUGACGCUGACGAGCGAAAGC